This 502-nucleotide ribosomal RNA is filed under the name uncultured Glomus. Its description in RNAcentral is "SSU rRNA". It matches the Rfam family "Eukaryotic small subunit ribosomal RNA", at positions 569 to 1074 of the family's 1831-position model. The record is from RNAcentral. Lineage: Eukaryota; Fungi; Glomeromycota; Glomeromycetes; Glomerales; Glomeraceae.
AGCAGCCGCGGUAAUUCCAGCUCCAGUAGCGUAUAUUAAAGUUGUUGCAGUUAAAAAGCUCGUAGUUGAAUUUCGGGAUCAAUAUGUUGGUCGUGCCUCGGUACGUACUGGCAUUAUUGAUUUCUCCUUUCUGAAGAACCAUGAUGUCAUUUAUUUGGUGUUGUGGGGAAUCAGGACUGUUACUUUGAAAAAAUUAGAGUGUUUAAAGCAGGCUCACGCUUGAAUACAUUAGCAUGGAAUAAUGAAAUAGGACGUUUGAUUCUAUUUUGUUGGUUUCUAGGAUCGACGUAAUGAUUAAUAGGGAUAGUUGGGGGCAUUAGUAUUCAAUUGUCAGAGGUGAAAUUCUUGGAUUUAUUGAAGACUAACUACUGCGAAAGCAUUUGCCAAGGAUGUCUUCAUUAAUCAAGAACGAAAGUUAGGGGAUCGAAGACGAUCAGAUACCGUCGUAGUCUUAACCAUAAACUAUGCCGACUAGGGAUCGGAUGAUGUUAAUUUUUAAUGA